Molecule: ribosomal RNA, 1376 nt
Filed under: uncultured bacterium
Lineage: Bacteria
Description: bacterial SSU rRNA
Rfam family: Bacterial small subunit ribosomal RNA
Source: RNAcentral
UUGAACGCUGGCGGUAUGCUUAACACAUGCAAGUCGAACGGAAACGAUACUAGCUUGCUAGUAGGCGUCGAGUGGCGGACGGGUGAGUAACGCGUAGGAAUCUGCCUGAUAGUGGGGGAUAGCCCGAAGAAAUUCGGAUUAAUACCGCAUAAUCUAUUCGUAGUAAAGUGGGGGACUUUCGAGCCUCACGCUAUCAGAUGAGCCUGCGUAAGAUUAGCUUGUUGGUAGGGUAAAAGCCUACCAAGGCGACGAUCUUUAGCUGGUCUGAGAGGAUGAUCAGCCACAUCGGGACUGAGACACGGCCCGAACUCCUACGGGAGGCAGCAGUGGGGAAUAUUGGACAAUGGGGGCAACCCUGAUCCAGCAAUACCGCGUGUGUGAAGAAGGCCUGAGGGUUGUAAAGCACUUUCAAUUGUGAAGAAAAGUUAGCGGUUAAUAACCGUUAGCCUUGACGUUAACUUUAGAAGAAGCACCGGCUAACUCCGUGCCAGCAGCCGCGGUAAUACGGAGGGUGCAAGCGUUAAUCGGAAUUACUGGGCGUAAAGCGUGCGUAGGCGGUUUAUUAAGUCAGAUGUGAAAGCCCCGGGCUUAACCUGGGAACUGCAUUUGAAACUGGUCAACUAGAGUAUGGUAGAGGAAAGUGGAAUUUCUGGUGUAGCGAUGAAAUGCGUAGAUAUCAGAAGGAACAUCAAUGGCGAAGGCAGCUUUCUGGACCAAUACUGACGCUGAGGUACGAAAGCGUGGGUAGCAAACAGGAUUAGAUACCCUGGUAGUCCACGCCGUAAACGAUGAUAACUAGCCGUUGGGGGGAUUUACCCUUUAGUGGCGAAGCUAACGCGUUAAGUUAUCCGCCUGGGGAGUACGGCCGCAAGGUUAAAACUCAAAGGAAUUGACGGGGACCCGCACAAGCGGUGGAGCAUGUGGUUUAAUUCGAUGCAACGCGAAGAACCUUACCUGGUCUUGACAUCCUGCGAACUUUCUAGAAAUAGAUUGGUGCCUUCGGGAACGCAGUGACAGGUGCUGCAUGGCUGUCGUCAGCUCGUGUCGUGAGAUGUUGGGUUAAGUCCCGUAACGAGCGCAACCCCUAUCCUUAUUUGCCAGCACAUCAUGGUGGGAACUAUAAGGAGACUGCCGGUGAUAAACCGGAGGAAGGCGGGGACGACGUCAAGUCAUCAUGGCCCUUACGACCAGGGCUACACACGUGCUACAAUGGGAAGGACAAAGAGCCGCGAAGCCGCGAGGUGUAGCUAAUCUCAUAAACCUUUUCGUAGUCCGGAUUGGAGUCUGCAACUCGACUCCAUGAAGUCGGAAUCGCUAGUAAUCGUAGAUCAGAAUGCUACGGUGAAUACGUUCCCGGGUCUUGUACUCACCGCCCG